AAAGCUAAAUGUGCAGCAAAUGCAAGCUGGCUGCCCUGCUUUUCUCUUGAGAACCUAACUCACAUGGGUGGGAUGUUUUCAACAGCUAGAAAUCAUCAACGGUAAAAAACUAUCGCAAGAGAAGUUGUUCACCCUAAGCAGCAAGUGCGACACCUGCAUCCCAACUUUUCCCAUUUGGGUCAAAGAACUGUCAUUCAUCUAUAUUGCCUUUGCUACAUGCGGCUGCUUUUGAAGAGGUUCCAUACGCCUCUAUAGAACUGGGAUGGGAGACAACGGUGUGUGGAUUGCAUGCCACCUUUAAGGAAAUCUGAAGAAGUUUCAAGUAACCCAGAUGUUCUAAGCCAUGCCCCUCCGCUUGCAUUUGGUACUUCAAUAAAAGUAAAUAAAAUGAGUAUUUGAAAUAAUCAUGUGCCUGAUUAUUUCUGAGAAGUGCUGAGUUGCAUGUACUAUGCCUGCCGGCCUCAGCACACCAGCUGAUAUCCAAGGGGACUGUUAUAGCUUCCUGGUUCUCCUAGUAUGGAGACAAUUCUAGA
This 533-nucleotide long non-coding RNA is filed under the name Pogona vitticeps (central bearded dragon). RNAcentral describes it as "lncRNA (ENSPVIG00000002646.1)". Lineage: Eukaryota; Metazoa; Chordata; Lepidosauria; Squamata; Agamidae. The record is from RNAcentral.